This is a long non-coding RNA of Salvelinus fontinalis (brook trout), 427 nucleotides long. RefSeq lists it as uncharacterized. The record is from RefSeq and is a predicted model, not a curated record. The transcript has 3 exons. Lineage: Eukaryota; Metazoa; Chordata; Actinopteri; Salmoniformes; Salmonidae.
UGGAGGUUGUAGUGAUGUUGUGUCUGUGUUGUGGAGGUUGUAGUGAUGUUGUGUCUGUGUUGUGGAGGUUGUAGUGAUGUUGUGUCUGUGUUGUGGAGGUUGUGGUGAUGUUGUGUCUGUGUUGUGGAGGUUGUGGUGAUGUUGUAUCUGUGUUGUGGAGGUUGUAGUGAUGUUGUAUCUGUGUUGUGGAGGUUGUAGUGAUGUUGUAUCUGUGUUGUGGAGGUUGUAGUGAUGUUGUAUCUGUGUUGUGGAGGUUGUAGUGAUGUUGUGUCUGUGUUGUGGAGGUUGUAGUGAUGUUGUGUCUGUGUUGUGGAGGUUGUAGUGAUGUUGUGUCUGUGUUGUGGAGGUUGUAGUGAUGUUGUAUCUGUGUUGUGGAGGUUGUAGUGAUGUUGUAUCUGUGUUGUGGAGGUUGUAGUGAUGUUGUGGA